Molecule: non-coding RNA, 116 nt
Filed under: Desulfosporosinus lacus
Lineage: Bacteria; Bacillati; Bacillota; Clostridia; Eubacteriales; Desulfitobacteriaceae
Description: FMN sequence
Rfam family: FMN riboswitch aptamer (RFN element)
About the family: The RFN element is a highly conserved domain that is found frequently in the 5'-untranslated regions of prokaryotic mRNAs that encode for flavin mononucleotide (FMN) biosynthesis and transport proteins. This element is a metabolite-dependent riboswitch that directly binds FMN in the absence of proteins. In Bacillus subtilis, the riboswitch most likely controls gene expression by causing premature transcription termination within the 5' untranslated region of the ribDEAHT operon and precluding access to the ribosome-binding site of ypaA mRNA.
Source: RNAcentral
AUACUCCUCUGGGGUUGGGUGAGAUUCCCUACCGGCGGUAAAGCCCGCGAGCCUUUUUUGGCAGAUCUGGUGAAAUUCCAGGGCCGACAGUACAGUCUGGAUGAGAAGAGGAACAG